RNAcentral lists this ribosomal RNA (435 nucleotides) under uncultured bacterium. RNAcentral's name for it is "partial 16S ribosomal RNA". It matches the Rfam family "Bacterial small subunit ribosomal RNA", at positions 29 to 507 of the family's 1533-position model. The record is from RNAcentral.
AGCGAACGCUGGCGGCAGGCUUAACACAUGCAAGUCGAACGGGCUUCUUCGGAAGUCAGUGGCAGACGGGUGAGUAACACGUGGGAACGUGCCCUUCGGUUCGGAAUAACUCAGGGAAACUUGAGCUAAUAACGGAUACGCCCUUUUGGGGAAAGGUUUACUGCCGAAGGAUCGGCCCGCGUCUGAUUAGUUUGUUGGUGGGGUAACGGCCUACCAAGGCGACGAUCAGUAGCUGGGCUGAGAGGAUGAGCAGACACACUGGGACUGAGACACAGCCCAGACUCCUACGCGAUGCAGCAGUGGGGAAUAUUGGAACAUGGGCGCAAUGCUGAACCAGCCAUGCCGGGUGAGUGAUGAAGGCCUUAAGGUUGUAAAGCUCUUUUGUCCGGGACGAUAAUGACGGUACCGGAAGAAUAAGCCCCGGCUAACUUCGUG